GCUGGGCACAGUGGCUCAUGCCUGUAAUCCCAGCACUUUGGGAGGCCAAGGCGGGUGGAUCACUUGAGGUCAGGAGUUCGAGACCAGCCUGGUCAAUAUGGUGAAACCUCGUCUGUACUAAAAAUUAGCCGGGCAUGAUGGCGGGUGGCUAUAAUCCCAGUUACUUGGAAGGCUGAGGCAGGAGAAUCACCUGAAUCCAGGAGGUGGAGGUUGCAGUGAGCCGAGAUUGCACCAUUGCACUCCAGCCUGGGCAACAGAGUGAGACCCUGUCUCA
Homo sapiens (human) is the source of this 274-nucleotide unclassified non-coding RNA. It matches the Rfam family "Metazoan signal recognition particle RNA". From Rfam's summary of the family: The signal recognition particle (SRP) is a universally conserved ribonucleoprotein. It is involved in the co-translational targeting of proteins to membranes. The record is from Ensembl. Lineage: Eukaryota; Metazoa; Chordata; Mammalia; Primates; Hominidae.